This 6089-nucleotide long non-coding RNA is filed under the name Sus scrofa (pig). Its description in RNAcentral is "lncRNA (ENSSSCG00035069262.1)". The record is from RNAcentral. Lineage: Eukaryota; Metazoa; Chordata; Mammalia; Artiodactyla; Suidae.
CCUCGCGGCCGCGGUACAGACGGACCGACGGACGGCGCGGCGUGCAGAAGGCGCCCGGCCAUGUUCAGCCGGAGCUCCCGGAAAAGACUCUCCAGCCGCUCGUUGACCGGACCGGGGCGGAUUGAGAGAGGCCAGCCAUGUAACGCCUGUGGUGAUCAGUGCCCUGGGUUCGCCCUGCAUAAAUGGAGGUAGGACGCCUUAUAACAGAUUCCUAAAGACAUCACUGCAGGGUGUAAUUAUACAUAUGUGUCUGCCGUGUACAUAUAUGUAUAAUUACAUUGAAGCAUUAUAAUGUACACUGAAGCAUUUUUCACCUUUUAAAUUGACUUGGGAGUCCCAUGGAAAAAAUGCAAAGGCUGUUCCUUUAAGACUGAGACUACAUCUGCUACAAAUAUUGGAGGUGGAAGUGGUGGCCAGACAUUGAGGAUGCAGGAGAGCACAGCUGAGGCUGCAUUUCCCUGAUGGGAGAGUUUUGGGUCCCUUGCACCCGCCCACAGUCUGUGUAUCUAAGUCGCUGGGUCCCAGAUGAUUCGACUUAGGCACGACAGUUUUUCCAAAUGCCGUAGUACAGCAUGUGUAGGAUUCCAGGGACUAGCUGGUGUUUUCCAAUUGUGUUUUUAAUUCAACCCCUGUAACUCUGGGUCCCAACCGCAAAUCCACCACUGCCCGCCUGUGCUGUGUCAACCCUCUUCGGUGGCCAGAUGUUUCUUAUUAAUGUGCCGUGAAUGUUGACUUCCAGGCAGCUCCAGCCUGGAUUGGAAUGAUUAUGUUUGGGAGACAAGAGAUCUGGGUGCCCUCCCAGUACAUCUGGCUGCUGGGGCUCUGGCUGGGAAAAGUUAGGGUGCAAUCUCUCUGUUGGGUGAUGUAAAGAGAAGAGAAUGGAUCCUUCUUGGCAAGUUCAUGAAAAGGAAAGAUGGUGACAGUAGAAAUUUGAGCAACAUUGUAACCAGUUCUCUCUUUGCUUAACACAUCUUCCUCCCCCGCCCUUUGCCCCUUUGAAGAGAGCUGUUUCUGGAUACUAGGGAGAAAAGCCUGCUUUGAUUUGGUUUUGUUUUCCUCCUCUGUGAGUGUGGUCUCUCCUUUCUCCCAGUUGGUCAUGUGUGCUGGGCACCCAGUUAUAAGGAAACUCCCAACUGGCUCCUUCAGAAAUUAAAUGCUUUUGUUCCUGCCUCUGAUGGGUCUGGCAGCCUCUUUGCCUUUGUUUCAGGGCACUGAGCGCAGCCCUUAUGGCUCCCGAGCAUUUAAUAACUUCUGUGUCAGAAGCAAGGCCGAGCGACCUUAUAAAUAUGUAAUGGGCAGACAUAGGCAUCCAUCAGUCCUGCUGAUGUUGUAGCCCAAAUGGUGUGCCCUGGGCUGCCCCCUCAUAUAUCCCAAAUGUGAAAGUGAUGAUAUAUGGGAAUAGGUAUAGAAGGCUUACUUUGUUCACCAAAUCCACUAUAACAGACAGCACUGCUGCUUACUUUCUGUUUCAUCCAUCUUGUGUUCUAAUGAGGGUGGGGGAGGCAGAGUGAUGAACAGGAGAGUGGUUUCCAGCUCCUUCGAAACUCUGGAGCCUUUGGGUCAACUUGUGACCAGAGUUCUGUGGGGCAGUGAUACAUUGAAGGGGUCUAGCCAGGCUCCCAUCCUUUUGGUCUGUGUGACCUCUGACCUCCAGCCAAUCACUUUUCUUAGUUCUCAGUUCCCCUAUUCCAUUAAAUGGGCAUAAUAAUGGUAUGUACAGCACCGAUUAAAUGAGGUAUUGAAAACACGUGUUUGCCCCACACCAGGCACAAAGUAAGUAUUAGGUACUUUUGUCAACUAUUUUUAGCUGUUUCUCAACUGUUGUCCCUGGAAGAAGCAUAGACGAGAGGCUGCUGGGUAUCCCGGUCCCUUGAGACUGUGAUGACCACAGCUUCUUGGAGAACCUUAAGCCCUUUUAACCCAGCUGAUUUUGUGAGGGGAAAACAAGUGUUUUAUUUUCAGCCCAUUAUGAAGCCUUUCUUUGGGAAAGAGGAGCCUUUCAUGAAGCUGAGAUGGGUUUUCAUGCCAAAGCAGUUUCCCCACUAGCAGCAGAGAAGCUUCCAUGAAUGGGGUUUUUAUGGCCUUUCCACUCAUUGCUGGAAAGGAAGCUCCUUGCUUUUGUCCUUCUCCUUGCUUUUCCCUCAUGGGCAUACUUUGGGGUGACCUUUUGGAGAAGAGGGACAAUCACUUCCAGGUUAGAGCACAAUAUUCUUUUUUGGCAGUUGGAAAGCCACUGUAUGCUCUCUUUGCUCUGCUCUGACUGGGGGACCAUGAGCCCCUGGAAGGGACAGUUGUGUGGGUAGUAGGAAAAGCCAGCCUGACACAAGAUGAAAGGCUGGCUUUGGUCUUUUUCAGGGAGAGUAAUUUCCUUUACCCCAGAGUCCCAAGACACCACUUGUGGGUCUCCCCUGUCUCUGCUUCUACUUGGUCCCCCUUCAGGCCAUUAUCCACACAGCAGGCAUCUCCCCAAAGCAGCACAGAGAUGUGCUGCUGCCUCCAAUAGGCAGGCACUGAAGUUCUAGGAAGGAAGCGCCUUGUAAACAAACUUUGCUUCCCUUGCUGCUGUGCCGGAGGGAGCUGGGCCUUUGAAGUCUAGUGGGAGUGGGGCCCUGGUCUUGCCCUGGUUUUGCCAAAGCCGUGUGACCUUAGGCAAAAGACUCGUGCUCCCUGAGUUUGAUUUUCCUCAGUCUUCAUGCGGGGAGCGCUCCACUGAACAAAUAUUUGAGGGCCUGCUUCGUGCCAGGCGCUCUGCUGGUGCUGGGGAUAGAGCAAAGAACAAAACAGACAGGAUUUCUGCCCCACAUUCAACACAUAAUUACAUUUUAGAUAAGGUGGUCCGGAGAGGACCCUCUGAGGAGGUGACAUUUGCACAGAGACCAAAAUGAAGCGAGGGAGGAGGAGGACUGGCAGAAUCACCAUCUCGCGGGAGCUUGUUAGAAAUGCAUAGUCUCAGGCCCAGCCCUAGACUAACUGAAUCUGACUUUAGGGGCUUAACCAAGAUCCCCAGCUGAUUUGUGUAUGUGGCAAAGAUUGAGGAGUGCAGAGUGACAGCACCUGGCACUGGGCAAGCCAGAUCAUUCCCUGAACCCUGGGUCUUGUAUGUAUGAGGAAAGAUGCCUGAUGUUCUGUGCAAGUCUGUUGUGUUUUCCUAGUGAUUUUCCUGAGGGAUCAUCCACUGUUUUCAUUUUUGUUUUUUAAAUUUUAUGGCCAUACCCAUGGCAUAUGGAAGUUCCCUGGCCAGGGAUUGAAUUCAAGCCUCAGGGUUGCAACCUCCAGCAGAUCUUUGGCAAUGUCCCAUCCUUUAACUCACUUCACCAGGGCUGGGAACUGAACCCACGCCUCUGCAGAAACUCAAGCUGCUGCAGUCAGGUUCUUAACCCACUGUGCCACAGUGAGAACUCCUCUGCCCCUGUUUUUGUUGUCACCCACAACCUUUAGGUGGCAAACAAUGAGCAUUUUUAGGAUCAUUAAAAAAGAAAAAACUCCUAGACCUGCAAGAAGUUCCAUGUCUUGGAGAAGAGAGGGCUCAAAACUGUCAGACCGAGCUCUCCCUUCCACCUGAUCUAGGACAGCUGGGGAGCGAAGACGGGCACUGCUCCCUCCAGAUGACCUGGCCCCAAAGAAGCAGCCCCUCAAGACAGUCUAGGGCAAACCCUGCAGUGGCCGGGCUGCCAAGGGAGUUCUCAUUAAGCAGAAGAUUAAGGUGUCUUUGUGGACUGUGGCCAGAAGAAAAUCAUUAAUAACCAGGCACUUAGUGCUAUGAGACAGCUUUCUGAGGGGGAGUUAAUUAGACUCGCAUGUUUGUACCCAGUUUGAGUAAGGAAGGGAAAAGAGCCAUUUUUACCAUAAAGAUUUGCCCUUUGAAUGUCUUGGCACUGAGGAAUUAAGGUAGGAAUAAACACACCAAAGCUACAUCAUCAGUGACAAAGGCGAGUGCUUUCUCAGUCCAGAGCUGUGUCUACACAUUUUAUGUAUGUUUCUGUUUCAUCCUCACUGAACCCUAUGAGGUAGAUGUGAUGAUUUUCCUGAUGAGGAAACUGAGGCUUGGAGAGGUUCCAUAGUGGACCCAAGGUCUCCUGGCUACUGAGAAUGAAGCUAGGAUUUGGCUGUAAAACCCAGGCUCAUUUCCCUGUGACUCCCUCCCUCUUGUUAGCUUUUCUCCAAGGCUGAGGUCACAAACCAGAGGCUCUCUGGUCACAUACAGUCUGCAGAUGGAGAUUGGUCUGCAGUGUGUGUUGAAAGGGGGGGCUUUCUCUAAUACUAAAAUCUAGGUUUCUCACUUCUUUUGAAGAAUCUAAAAUGUUGUAACAUGGGGUAGACUUUCCUACAUGGCAGUAAUUGGUGGUGGUCUCCCUUUAGGUGGGUGCAACCUUGGCUCACCCAAGUCACCAACAUUCCAGUUGCAAUCAGAGACCUCCUCAAAUACUUAAGUGACCUGUCAGGUCCUAAAAGUCAAUGGAGUUUGCCAGUCCUGAAUGAGCAUUCUCAUUUCUCCAAAAAUGCUAUUAAAAAAUAGUAAGCUUUUAUCAUUUUAGCUACCAUUUUUUGUGUGUAUGUGCUUUUUAGGAUUGUACCCACGACAUGUGGAGGUUCCCAGGUUAGGGGCUGAAUCAGAGCUAUAGCUGCCGGCCUACACCAAAGCCACAGCAACGCCGGAUCCAAGCCACAUCUGCGACCUACACCACAGCUCAUGGCAAUGCCAGAUUCUUAACCCACUGAGCGAGGCCAGAUCGAACCCACAUCCUCAUGGAUCCUAGUCCACCUCGUUAACCACUGAGCCAUGAAGGGAACUCCCCUUAGCUACCAUUUUUAAAGUAUUGACAAUACCAGGCAAGUAUUUUACAUCCUUCCAAUCUUUCACCUGCAAUAGUCCUUGGAGACAGGUGCAAUUAUUUAUACCUAUUCUGAUAGAUGAGGAAAAUCAGUCUCAGAGAGGUUAAGCAACUUAGCAAAGGUCCUAUAGCCCCCUAGUCAGUGGUAUUCCAACCUUGUCUGUCUUCAGAAUCCCCUGUUCUGGACCAGGGCUUCUCACACUUAGCUGGCAUAUGAAUCACCAGGGGAUCUUGUUCAAAGGCAGAUUCAGAUUCAAAGGUUUGAGGGCAGGGGACUAAGAUGCUGCACUGUUAAUAAGCUCCAAGGUGAUGCUGAUGCUGCUGGUCCAGAGACCAUAUUUUGAGUAGGGCUUGGCAAACUAGGUCCUACAGGCCAAAUCAGACCUUUCACCUGCUUUGUGUGAUUUGUAAGCCAUAUGUGGGUUUAACGGUUUUAAUGGUUGGGAGAAAAAUCAAAAGAACAUUAUUUCAUGACACAUGUAAAUUCUGUGAAAUUUAUAUUUCAGUGCCCAUAAAUUGUUAGGUGAACAAAGUCACACCUAUUUGUUUACAUAUUGUCUAUGGCUCUUGUUGAGCCACAACAAUAGAGACAAAUGCUUGAGACGCAGAAUACAUGGUUUACAAAGCCCAAAACAUUUACCAUCUGUCCAUUAACAGAAAAUGCUAAAUACCCCUAUCAAGGGGAAUAUACAAGUAGCUUCUCUUAGUUUUAGAAGAAAGGAAUCUGAGAACCUUUUGGAUCAGGGCUGGAGGAAACAUCCUCUCCAGCCUGGAGGAGAAGGUGGCUAAAAUCAAAGGCAACCAAAGAAACAGGGAACAGACUAAAGCCAUUUCUAAAGGGCAUGUGGAGAUGAGGCUUGCAAGACCAGAUCAAUGAACCGCCAGUGGAUUCUAAGCUCCUUUAACAUUUCAGCUUUGCUGAUAAAUGUAGAUUUGACUCUCGCAUUAAAAGGCGGGCUUUCAGAACAAGCCUCCUGGAGUUGCACUUUCAUGAAGGACUGACAGGGGAGGCCCAGAGCAGUGGUACCCUUGUGAAGUCCUCUUAAUUAUGCAGAGCGGUUAGUCUGCCGAUACUGGCCGCCUUUCCAGGCAGAAUGCUUGGGCUCUGAGCAGCCACUCUGAAGCAGCGUUCACUGGGUCAGCCAAGACUGUGCCUUGAAAAGCAUCUUUCCCUAGUUGUCCUGGUAAUUGUGUUGAUUGAUGACUGAGAUGGUAAUUUGGGGUGAGGCUGAGCCUGGUUUCCUUUAGUGGGUUGUG